This 81-nucleotide small nucleolar RNA is filed under the name Suricata suricatta (meerkat). RNAcentral describes it as "Small nucleolar RNA SNORD115 (ENSSSUG00005014061.1)". It matches the Rfam family "Small nucleolar RNA SNORD115". From Rfam's summary of the family: HBII-52 is a member of the C/D class of snoRNAs, which contain the C (UGAUGA) and D (CUGA) box motifs. HBII-52 is encoded in a tandemly repeated array with another C/D snoRNA, HBII-85, in the Prader-Willi syndrome (PWS) region of chromosome 15. Lineage: Eukaryota; Metazoa; Chordata; Mammalia; Carnivora; Herpestidae. The record is from Rfam by way of RNAcentral.
GGGUCAAAAAUGACAAAUCAUAUGGUCUCAAAGAGGGAUGAUGACCUAAAAAUUAUGCUCAAUAGGCUUAUGCUGAAGCCC